AUGGCCAGGAAGUUCUGGGGUCUCUUGAGGAAAACUUUUUGCUGCCAACUGACAGAUAGUCUAUCUGAGGCUGACUUUCAGAACUUCUCUGACUUGGAAUGUGACCCACCUGAGGUGAGAUCUUACUGGACUGCUAAAGGGACCACGGCAGGAUCGCCUAAAGGACCGUGCGUAUCCGAGCUGGAGGAGUUGUACUUCCAGGACAGAUUGUGUGGUCUGCAGCAUAAAUCGAAUGAUGCCUCGAAGUACAAUCAGGAGCAGACGAUCUGGGUCUGUGACCUAGAGGACACCGUGGACUUUGAGGAGCAGCCACGUUGGCCAAGGAUGUACAGGCAGACCUCCCGGGAGCUGGAGAAGCAGAAGUCCCUGGAGGACUUGAUGAAAGAGAAGCAGAUUCUGGAAAAACAUCUGCACUGUAUGUCCCACCUCCAGCAAGAGGUUGCACUCUUACAAGACCAACUGCAAAGGACCAAAUUUCCAUCUCCACCUUACAUCUGUCCCCUGGCUACCUCUCCGUCUCGCCCCGGCUUCUGCUCCCCUGCUCCUGUGAGGCUCAACUUCUCCCAGAGAAAGUGCUCGGAAACAGUACCAGAGCUGAAAUCAACAAGGAAGGCUCUGCCAGGUGGUAUGUGCUCCCACUCCCAAGAGAGGGAAGAAGGUGAGUCCCCACCCGUGAAGGGCACUGUGAAGGAGGUGCUGGACACACUGACCAAGCUGACUUCAAAGGCGUCUACUACUGGGGCAGCAGCCAGAGAGGGCUCCACAGUCAACCUCAUAGAGGAACAGCCAGAUGGGGAGAAUCUUUCAGCAGAUGGACUUUCCUCCUCCUCCUCCAAUGACUCCAGUUUAAGCCUCACACCAGCCCUCUCCAAAUGCCAAAUGAGGAAAAUCUCCAGUCACAGUGAUCUAGCUGAUGCCCCUGCUUCCCAGGAUCUUGGCCAUGGUGAACUUGACCCACAGAGGGUGGAGGAGUCUUCUCAGGACGGCUCUGAGGAGGACCAGCAGGACAUCGGCUGGGAGAAGGCCAGUCUCACGUCAGCAGAGCUCCCUGCAUCUCAAGCCGGCAGAGCGUCAGUCAUCGGGGAAGAGGGCGGUGGCGGUACACCCACGCUGAGUAGUGAGGAAGCAGGGUCCGGAGAACAGUGCCAAGAAGCUGGUCUGACUUCUACCUUGAGCUGCUUGGCACCCAGAUCAGAAAGCAAGCACGAAGAGUCUUCUGACCUCACCGACUCCAGCAAGCCCGAAGGUCAUGCCGGUUUUGAACACUUCUCGCCCACCGCCGAAGGUGCCUUCUGCUAAAAAUGUGGUAACAGCUGGUCCAGAACUCACCUCUGUUCCUGUCUUGACUGCUGGGAGAAGGAAGAAUAAUUCCCAGUGAUAGGAAGAGUUUGCUGCUUCUCCUAUGCCUCCAAUUUUAAUCCUGUUUCUGAAAUAAAGUAGUUGAGAACUCAGUCUCUGAUCUUCUAUUCCCUAUGACGGAGCCUUCAUCUUCCUUUCUUACGGAUUGGACAUGGGCAUCAAUUAAGUUGGCCACUAGAUAAGAGGAGGGAAGAGAUGUUGCUAAAGUCUGGAUCCAGUCUGUUCUACCUCCUCUUCUUUCUCCCACCAGUUGGAGCAAGGAGCACUUUUAAGAGGCUGAACCCACAUGCAGGUGUCUUCCUCAGAUUCCUGCUGGAUAGUUUUGCUGUCUGAUUCGGGCUCAAAAAGUGAGCUGAGCAAGGAUGCUAAGCAUCCUCAUGUGCAGAAAGUUUGACUCUCUUCACUCUAUCACCUCUGCAGUUAAGCAGGGGCCAUUGGGAGGAAGGGAAUGGAUAAAUGGGAGUAGUGGAUCAGGUCACUGAUCCAACUGCUUAGAAACAACUCAAACAGUGCCAAUAGGUGCCUUUUGGCAGGUGUGGGCAAGCCUAUUUUGACAAUGUUCUGGUUCCCCUUAAAGGCUGAGGAGGGGAUCAGGCAGGGUAUUAUUCCUAGCAGAGGCUUUAACACUUCCCAAAAAUGACUGGGCAAUGAGAGCCAUUCAGAAAGCUGGUUGGGGCUUCCUAAAUUAGAAGUAUUCUUCACUGCCACACCCCCUCCCCUUCCUCCAUCCAGCAAACAUAACUACUCCCACCUUUCUCUCCGCCAAGCAAAUGCUCUCU
RNAcentral lists this long non-coding RNA (2138 nucleotides) under Ornithorhynchus anatinus (platypus). Its description in RNAcentral is "lncRNA (ENSOANG00000034232.2)". Lineage: Eukaryota; Metazoa; Chordata; Mammalia; Monotremata; Ornithorhynchidae. The record is from RNAcentral.